CCCAGCAGGGCAGAAGGCUUCUGGCGAUUGGGUGUCCGAUCCUUCUGAUUCUCACAACGUCCUCCCCUGUGAUGGCUUGUCCAGUGCUGGUCUCCCGCAGUAAAUAACGAGGGUGUGGUGGUAUCUUCCCAGAUAUGCUUGCCGCGCAAGGCGAGGUUCACUCUCCAUUCCCUUGUGACCGUUCCCAGCUUCUCCUCCAGAACCCACCACACUAGCAGUUCAACUCAACCUCCACUGCCUUCCCAGUGACAUACCUAAAUUGCUUGAAUAGCAGUGAGGAGGGUCCUUCUACACCAGCGAGUGAUCAGAUAUAAAACUAAGAACUGCCUUGUACAAAGCCAGAACAGAUACAUUGACAGAAUCAUCAGGAAGGAUAAUAGGUGCCCAGCCUCAGCACCAUCAUCUCUCACGUUGACUUCUGAAGACCCUCCUAAUUGAUCUCUGUGUCUACCUGACCCCCAGUAGUCUGCUCUUCAUAUUGCUGUCACUGUGACUGUGGCUGUCGCAGAGGAGGAAUGAUAGUGGACAGCCUCUCACUGUGCUACCGCAACAAACUCAUCUUAGCCCCUAUGGUUCGGGUAGGGACUCUCCCAAUGCGGCUGCUGGCCCUGGAUUAUGGAGCGGACAUUGUGUACU
This is a non-coding RNA of Manis javanica (Malayan pangolin), 636 nucleotides long. The record is from RefSeq and is a predicted model, not a curated record. NCBI's taxonomy places the organism in Eukaryota, Metazoa, Chordata, Mammalia, Pholidota, Manidae.